This 409-nucleotide ribosomal RNA is filed under the name Globigerinoides ruber albus. RNAcentral describes it as "partial small subunit ribosomal RNA". It matches the Rfam family "Eukaryotic small subunit ribosomal RNA", at positions 1405 to 1634 of the family's 1831-position model. The record is from RNAcentral. Lineage: Eukaryota; Foraminifera; Rotaliida; Globigerinidae.
GAUAAACUCGGGGGACUGCUGACUAUAACCAUUUCUCAAAACAGAGGAAGGUUGCGGCAAUAACAGGUCUGUGAUGCCCUCAGAUGUCCCGGGCUGCACACGUGCUACAAUGAGUGGCGCAAUGUGCUAAUGUUUAAGGGAUAAGAGUGUGGUCAGUAGAACGUCGGGAUUUCCCCUGACGUCUCCCCCGCACGAUUAUCAGCCUUCCCUUAACAGGGCGGGCAACCUUUUCAAAAUACUGGUUUGAUGUUAAAGUAUUGAGUCGUUUUUUUUGGAUGGUGGUUUGUUAACCAAUACCAUCCGGCAACUGCUCGCGAGUUUGUGGUUCUGGCGACUCAUGGUGGGGACCGACGUUUGUAAUUUUUUGUCGCGUGUUAACUAGGAAUGCCUUGUACUGUCGAUUCACUAA